Molecule: ribosomal RNA, 254 nt
Filed under: uncultured bacterium
Lineage: Bacteria
Description: partial 16S ribosomal RNA
Rfam family: Bacterial small subunit ribosomal RNA
Source: RNAcentral
UACGAAGGGGGCUAGCGUUGUUCGGAAUUACUGGGCGUAAAGCGCGCGUAGGCGGUGAUCCAUGUCAGAGGUGAAAGCCUGGGGCUCAACUCCAGAAUUGCCUUUGAAACGGGAUCGCUAGAGUCCGAGAGAGGAUGGCGGAAUUCCUAGUGUAGAGGUGAAAUUCGUAGAUAUUAGGAAGAACACCGGUGGCGAAGGCGGCCAUCUGGCUCGGUACUGACGCUCAGGCGCGAAAGCGUGGGGAGCAAACAGGG